CCCCUAGACGUUCUGGGCUGCACGCGCGCUACAAUAAUACGCACAGUGAGUAUCACCGAGCUCGAAAGGGCAAGGUAAACAAUAGAAAAGGUACUGUAAUGGUUAUAGAUCCUUGUAAUUAUUGAUCUUCAACGAGGAAUUCCUAGUAAGUAUGUGUCAUCAUCACGCACUGAUUACGUCCCUGCCCUUUGUACACACCGCCCGUCGCUCCUACCGAUUGGGUGAGCCGAUGAAACUCUCGGAUGUAGGCUAUUCAUAGCCCGCAGAAGAGAUUUGAAUCGUAGCGCUUAGAGGAAGGAGAAGUCGUAACA
This 311-nucleotide ribosomal RNA is filed under the name uncultured eukaryote. RNAcentral's name for it is "partial 18S ribosomal RNA". It matches the Rfam family "Eukaryotic small subunit ribosomal RNA", at positions 1470 to 1796 of the family's 1831-position model. The record is from RNAcentral.